RNAcentral lists this ribosomal RNA (484 nucleotides) under uncultured bacterium. RNAcentral's name for it is "partial 16S ribosomal RNA". It matches the Rfam family "Bacterial small subunit ribosomal RNA", at positions 29 to 507 of the family's 1533-position model. The record is from RNAcentral.
AUUGAACGCUGGCGGCAUGCUUUACACAUGCAAGUCGAACGGCAGCGCGGGCUUCGGCCUGGCGGCGAGUGGCGAACGGGUGAGUAAUGCAUCGGAACGUGCCCAGUAGUGGGGGAUAGCCCGGCGAAAGCCGGAUUAAUACCGCAUACGACCUGAGGGUGAAAGCGGGGGACCGAAAGGCCUCGCGCUAUUGGAGCGGCCGAUGUCGGAUUAGCUAGUUGGUGGGGUAAAGGCUUACCAAGGCGACGAUCCGUAGCUGGUCUGAGAGGACGACCAGCCACACUGGGACUGAGACACGGCCCAGACUCCUACGGGAGGCAGCAGUGGGGAAUUUUGGACAAUGGGGGCAACCCUGAUCCAGCCAUGCCGCGAGCGGGAAGAAGGCCUUCGGGUUGUAAACCGCUUUUGUUCGGGAAGAAAUCCUCUGGGCUAAUACCCCGGGGGGAUGACGGUACCGGAAGAAUAAGCACCGGCUAACUACGUG